ACGUGUAGUCGUUGGAGAGAAAAGGGAGAGAGAGUCUCAUUCCUAACACAAUGGGGAAACUUAAAGUUCGUGAACUAAGAGGGAAGACUAAGGACGAGUUGCUGAAGCAGCUGGACGAGCUAAAGAAUGAGCUAUCACAGCUACAAGUCCAGAAAGUGACGGGAGGGACUGCCUCUAAGCUCUCAAAGAUAAAAGUUGUCAGGAAGAGCGUGGCUCGAGUCAAGACUGUCAUCAGCCAGACCCAGAGGCAGAACUUGAAGAAGUUUUACGCCAACAAGAAGUACAAGCCUUUGGAUCUCCGCAAAAAGCUCACCAGAGCCAAGAGGAGGGAGUUAACCCCGCGAGAGAGAUCAGCUAAGACGCUGAGAAGAAAAAAGAAGUUGAGCCUCUUCCCUCGUCGUGUUUAUGCUGUUAGGGCCUAGUACAUUGUGGACAUUUUGUUAUUAUUAUUAAUAUAUUACUGUGCACAUUUUAAUUUCAAAUAAUAUUUGUGUACAAAUCAAUAAUGAAAACAGAAA
RNA transcript from Amphimedon queenslandica, 518 nucleotides. It is a transcript of the gene named 60S ribosomal protein L35 pseudogene, with no coding region annotated. NCBI's taxonomy places the organism in Eukaryota, Metazoa, Porifera, Demospongiae, Haplosclerida, Niphatidae. The transcript has a single exon. The record is from RefSeq and is a predicted model, not a curated record.